AAUUCAAGGGUGUGGCGCGAGCUUCUUCGGAAGCGAAGCAAUUGGAAGUGGUUCCAAGAAAAGCCUCUAAGCUUCAGUCUAACGAUGACCGUACCGCAAACCGACACAGGUGGGCGAGAUGAGUAUUCUAAGGCGCUUGAGAGAACUCGGGAGAAGGAACUCGGCAAAUUGGUACCGUAACUUCGGGAUAAGGUACGCCCUUGUAGCUUGACUGGCCUGCGCCAGGAGGGUGAAGGGGUUGCAAUAAACUGGUGGCUGCGACUGUUUAAUAAAAACACAGCACUCUGCAAACACGAAAGUGGACGUAUAGGGUGUGACGCCUGCCCGGUGCCGGAAGAUUAAAUGAUGGGGUGCAAGCUCUUGAUUGAAGUCCCGGUAAACGGCGGCCGUAACUAUAACGGUCCUAAGGUAGCGAAAUUCCUUGUCGGGUAAGUUCCGACCUGCACGAAUGGCGUAACGAUGGCCACACUGUCUCCUCCCGAGACUCAGCGAAGUUGAAGUGUUUGUGAUGAUGCAAUCUACCCGCGGCUAGACGGAAAGACCCCAUGAACCUUUACUGUAGCUUUGCAUUGGACUUUGAACCGAUCUGUGUAGGAUAGGUGGGAGGCUAUGAAACCGGAACGCUAGUUUCGGUGGAGCCGUCCUUGAAAUACCACCCUGGUUUGUUUGAGGUUCUAACCUUGGCCCGUGAUCCGGGUCGGGGACAGUGCAUGGUAGGCAGUUUGACUGGGGCGGUCUCCUCCCAAAGCGUAACGGAGGAGUACGAAGGUACGCUAGGUACGGUCGGAAAUCGUGCUGAUAGUGCAAUGGCAUAAGCGUGCUUAACUGCGAGACCGACAAGUCGAGCAGGUGCGAAAGCAGGUCAUAGUGAUCCGGUGGUUCUGUAUGGAAGGGCCAUCGCUCAACGGAUAAAAGGUACUCUGGGGAUAACAGGCUGAUACCGCCCAAGAGUUCAUAUCGACGGCGGUGUUUGGCACCUCGAUGUCGGCUCAUCUCAUCCUGGGGCUGUAGCCGGUCCCAAGGGUAUGGCUGUUCGCCAUUUAAAGAGGUACGUGAGCUGGGUUUAAAACGUCGUGAGACAGUUUGGUCCCUAUCUGCCGUGGGCGUUGGAUAUUUGAAGGGGGCUGCUCCUAGUACGAGAGGACCGGAGUGGACGAACCUCUGGUGUACCGGUUGUCACGCCAGUGGCAUCGCCGGGUAGCUAUGUUCGGAAGAGAUAACCGCUGAAAGCAUCUAAGCGGGAAACUCGCCUUAAGAUGAGAUAUCCCUGGGGACUAGAUCCCCUUGAAGGGUCGUUCGAGACCAGGACGUUGAUAGGUCAGGUGUGUAAGCGCAGUAAUGCGUUCAGCUAACUGAUACUAAUUGCCCGUAAGGCUUGAUCCU
Molecule: ribosomal RNA, 1383 nt
Filed under: Burkholderia sp. HAN2018
Lineage: Bacteria; Pseudomonadati; Pseudomonadota; Betaproteobacteria; Burkholderiales; Burkholderiaceae
Description: bacterial LSU rRNA
Rfam family: Bacterial large subunit ribosomal RNA
Source: RNAcentral